This 253-nucleotide ribosomal RNA is filed under the name uncultured bacterium. RNAcentral's name for it is "partial 16S ribosomal RNA". It matches the Rfam family "Bacterial small subunit ribosomal RNA", at positions 524 to 776 of the family's 1533-position model. The record is from RNAcentral.
UACGUAGGGUGCAAGCGUUAAUCGGAAUUACUGGGCGUAAAGCGCGCGCAGGCGGUUCCUUAAGUCUGAUGUGAAAGCCCACGGCUCAACCGUGGAGGGUCAUUGGAAACUGGGGAACUUGAGUGCAGGAGAGAAGAGUGGAAUUCCACGUGUAGCGGUGAAAUGCGCAGAUAUCAGGAGGAACACCAGUGGCGAAGGCGGCUUCCUGGCCUGUUCUUGACGCUGAGGCGCGAAAGCUAGGGGAGCAAACGGG